This 296-nucleotide unclassified non-coding RNA is filed under the name uncultured Gammaproteobacteria bacterium. RNAcentral's name for it is "contains 16S-23S intergenic spacer region". It matches the Rfam family "Bacterial small subunit ribosomal RNA", at positions 907 to 1197 of the family's 1533-position model. Lineage: Bacteria; Pseudomonadati; Pseudomonadota; Gammaproteobacteria. The record is from RNAcentral.
UCCGAAUUGACGGGGGCCCGCACAAGCGGUGGAGCAUGUGGUUUAAUUCGAUGCAACGCGAAGAACCUUACCUGGUCUUGACAUCUACGGAACUUUCCAGAAAUGGAUUGGUGCCUUCGGGAACCGUAAGACAGGUGCUGCAUGGCUGUCGUCAGCUCGUGUCGUGAGAUGUUGGGUUAAGUCCCGUAACGAGCGCAACCCUUGUCCUUAGUUGCCAGCGCGUAAUGGUGGGAACUCUAGGGAGACUGCCGGUGACAAACCGGAGGAAGGUGGGGAUGACGUCCCCUUCCAUCACA